UCAGACGAUGCGUCAUGCAUAUCAAUAAGCGGAGGAAAAGAAACUAACAAGGAUUCCCCUAGUAACGGCGAGUGAAGCGGGAAGAGCUCAAAUUUGAAAUCUUAAAGGGUUUCCCUUUACGAAUUGUAGUUUAAAGAAGUGUUUUCUGUUGAGGUUUUGGUAAAAGUUCUUUGGAAUAGGACAUCAUAGAGGGUGAGAAUCCCGUAUUUGACCUUUACUUUCAACCUUGUGAUACACUUUCAAAGAGUCGGAUUGUUUGGGAAUGCAGUCCAAAAUGGGUGGUAAAUUUCAUCUAAAGCUAAAUAUUGGCGAGAGACCGAUAGCGAACAAGUACCGUGAGGGAAAGAUGAAAAGAACUUUGAAAAGAGAGUUAAACAGUACGUGAAAUUGUCAAAAGGGAAGCGUUUGACACCAGUGUUGUUUUUCUGAAAAUCAAUUAAAGAACUGUUUAUGCUAAGUUGUUUAGACUUUAUCAGCUAUCUGUUUAGUUUUGAGCUUUUCUUUAAUGCACUUUUCAGUUAACAAGUCAACAUCAAUUUCUUUUGCUGUAAAAAAGCUUGAGGAAGGUGGCUUGAGAUUCGUCUUAAGUGUUUAUAGCCUCUUGCCUAUGCAGUCGGAGAGAUUGAGGUCUGCAGCGUAGAUCCUUCGGGGCUAAAUGCAUUUGUGCUAAGUUAUAGCAUUUUAUAGACAACUUGUUGACUAUGAUUUGUCUUGUAGCUUACUCGCUUAUGUUAUUUUACCUACGCUUAGGAUGUUGAGCGCAUGUCUCUCUCU
Molecule: ribosomal RNA, 774 nt
Filed under: uncultured Neocallimastigales
Lineage: Eukaryota; Fungi; Neocallimastigomycota; Neocallimastigomycetes; Neocallimastigales
Description: partial large subunit ribosomal RNA
Rfam family: Eukaryotic large subunit ribosomal RNA
Source: RNAcentral